Phascolarctos cinereus (koala) is the source of this 300-nucleotide non-coding RNA. The record is from RefSeq and is a predicted model, not a curated record. NCBI's taxonomy places the organism in Eukaryota, Metazoa, Chordata, Mammalia, Diprotodontia, Phascolarctidae.
UGGAAAAGCAUGCCUCCCUCCCUUUGGCCAAAAAAACGUGGAGUAUAGGUUUCCAAGAAACUCUGUGGGAACAGAGCAGUAUUAUCAAGGUCCCUGUGGAAGAACAAGAUUCAGAUUGAAUCAAACUAAAAACGUCAUGGGAAAGAAUGGUGAUGAAAGAAAUAAACACUUUUAAGUUCUGCUGUCUGGACCUCAGGCACCCCAGAUAAAAUUCCUAAGUUUUGUUAUGGAUAACAUCAUCCCAUGCUGACCAAAAAAUCAUUAUAGUAAAAAUAAAAUAAAAAUAAUUUUAAAAAAUAA